CAGCGCGGGGGCUGACGGCCCCUCCAGGCUCCUGGGUGGAGCUGCGCUAUGGCCCAGGCUGCCCCGAGCCGGCACCCUCGCCCUUCUCCUGCCACGCUGACGUGGAGCGGAUGCUGCUGGAAGCCCAGCUAGAGACGGAGAGCGGGGACGGGUGAGUUGCAAGGAGGAGCCGGGCCCCGGAGCUCUGCCGGGCCAGGCUGGGCUCGGUGACCGAGGGGGUCUGUUUGCAGGGCCCUGCUCGUGCUGGACGCUCCAGCCUGGAAUGACGGUGGAGCUGGGCAGGCGAGCGAGCAGUCAGGGGAGAGCGAGGUCCUUCCUGCACACAGCCAGCCCCCACAGGGCUGCCCCCACCCCCAGCAGGUAAGGGAGCUGUCCCCUACCCUUCUGCACCCCUGGGCCCUGCUCUGACCUGCCCUGUGUCUCCUUCCAGGGGGAUACGCUGGAGGAAACCAAGCGGAGACAGCGACUCCUGCCAGCGUCCCUGGGCUGGGCCUGUACCCGCUGCCCCCGGUACCUGUCUCCAAAGGAAUUUGCCUUUGUGUGCUCCCCCCAGCCUGUGCUGUGGAGCCUGCAGGGAGGUGCAGUGGGGAGGAAGAAGAGACUUUUCAGUUCAGAGCUGCUGCUGCUCUUCAUCCCCUCGCUGCUGCUCAGCCACCUCCUGACCCUGGGGCUGGGGAUCUACAUUGGGAAGCACCUGGCAGCCACCUCGGCCAACCCCCUGUGAGGAGCCCUGUGCUGCCCCGCUCGGUGUGCAGGGGGAGCCCGGCACCCGCACAGCCCGACCGCUCCCAGGCUCCGUGUCUGUGGCACGAGGUGCCUCCCCGUGUACCUCCUGUAGCCCCCGCCCUGGGAGCUGAUCCCCCUCU
Molecule: long non-coding RNA, 866 nt
Filed under: Manacus vitellinus (golden-collared manakin)
Lineage: Eukaryota; Metazoa; Chordata; Aves; Passeriformes; Pipridae
Description: lncRNA (ENSMVIG00005004749.1)
Source: RNAcentral